UAGGGAAUCUUCCGCAAUGGGCGAAAGCCUGACGGAGCAACGCCGCGUGAGUGAUGAAGGUCUUCGGAUCGUAAAACUCUGUUAUUAGGGAAGAACAAAUGUGUAAGUAACUAUGCACGUCUUGACGGUACCUAAUCAGAAAGCCACGGCUAACUACGUGCCAGCAGCCGCGGUAAUACGUAGGUGGCAAGCGUUAUCCGGAAUUAUUGGGCGUAAAGCGCGCGUAGGCGGUUUUUUAAGUCUGAUGUGAAAGCCCACGGCUCAACCGUGGAGGGUCAUUGGAAACUGGAAAACUGGAGUGCAGAAGAGGAAAGUGGAAUUCCAGGUGUAGCGGUGAAAUGCGCAGAGAAAUGGAGGAACACCAGUGGAGAAGGCGACUUUCUGGUCUGUAACUGACGCUGAUGUGCGAAAGCGGGGGGAUCAAACAGG
Molecule: ribosomal RNA, 429 nt
Filed under: Actinomycetes bacterium
Lineage: Bacteria; Bacillati; Actinomycetota; Actinomycetes
Description: Actinobacteria bacterium partial 16S ribosomal RNA
Rfam family: Bacterial small subunit ribosomal RNA
Source: RNAcentral